CGCGGGAAUAGCUCAGUUGGUAGAGCACAACCUUGCCAAGGUUGGGGUCGCGAGUUCGAGCCUCGUUUCCCGCUCC
This 76-nucleotide transfer RNA is filed under the name Pasteurella multocida 36950. RNAcentral's name for it is "tRNA-Gly". It matches the Rfam family "tRNA". From Rfam's summary of the family: Transfer RNA (tRNA) molecules are approximately 80 nucleotides in length. Their secondary structure includes four short double-helical elements and three loops (D, anti-codon, and T loops). Lineage: Bacteria; Pseudomonadati; Pseudomonadota; Gammaproteobacteria; Pasteurellales; Pasteurellaceae. The record is from RNAcentral.